GUCUACGGACAUGCCACCCUGAACAUGCCCGAUCUCAUCUGAUCUCAGAAGCUAAGCAGGGUUGGGCCUGGUUAGUAUUUGGAUGGGAGACCACCUAGGAAGAUCAGGUGCUGUAGGCA
This 119-nucleotide ribosomal RNA is filed under the name Pteropus alecto (black flying fox). Lineage: Eukaryota; Metazoa; Chordata; Mammalia; Chiroptera; Pteropodidae. The record is from RNAcentral.